RNAcentral lists this long non-coding RNA (8009 nucleotides) under Arabidopsis lyrata. RNAcentral's name for it is "long non-coding RNA (ALYR_LNC001026)". Lineage: Eukaryota; Viridiplantae; Streptophyta; Magnoliopsida; Brassicales; Brassicaceae. The record is from RNAcentral.
ACAUAGAUUGUUUAAUCAGUGUUACACAACAUCACCUACAGGCGACUUGACCCUGAAACGAUCCUAAUCUACCCAGCUCACACACAGCAACAGCUGCGAUCACUCUUUGUUCACUCACCAGUGAAUCCCACAAAGAACAAAUUCGUUCACAAAGAUACACACUUUUUCUCUUCUAAAAGUGCUAACCCUAAUAAGCAAGAACACCUUCUCCUUAUAUAGAGUCUUCAGAUUCCAAGCUAUCCUCUUUAUCCAGGGGACACUUGGAAGCUUUAAGUCACACUCAAGUCACAACACAACUUGUUUGACUUUUGGGACACCUUUUUCUUCUAACAGUUUCGCCUGCUUGUCCAACCUCAGCAUGCUCACUGUUACCAACUCCAAUGUGCCACGUCACCACGAACCCAUUAGCUUUUCUCGCCUCCUCUUUACUCCUUCAGACACACCUCUGUUCGUCCUUCAGAGACUCUGUUUCAUCAAUCUCCCCCUUUUUAUCUGAGUGUGAUACUCAAGCAACCUGCAAAAUGUUAGUUCAAAAAACAAAUGCAGCCAUACAAAUUAUAUACCAGAUCAACCAGAGAAAUGAAAACAGAGAGAGCAAAUCAAAUUCAUAACUGCGAAAGCAAUCUUCAAGGGUUCCAGAAAAAUAACCAAAAGAUAACCGACAAUUAGAGUUUAAGAGUCAUAGAAAGUACAGACCAAAAACCAUCUAAGCAAGUCCUACUCUACUCUUAACUCCCCCUAUCUAAAAAAACAUCAUACUACUUAGCCACUUUCAACUUCAUCCUCAUCCUCCUCUCCUUCUUCUCCUUGUGUACCUUCAUCAGAGUUAUGAGAGACAACAGGAACCACAUCCGCAUAAUCUCCCCCUGCUUGAGUGCACACUCAUAUAAAAACCAGAAGCAGAAAUAGAGGAUGAAGGACAGAACCAGAGAACACUUACCUGUAAGACGUUGCAGAACAGUCUUGAUGGUUGCCAUGAGGAGUGCCAAAUCAGCAGUGAGAGUCGCUGGACCAGUGGGGACAAACGGUUCUUUGAUCUCAAAGGUAAAACGUUGUGGAGCUGCAGAUGUCACAUCAGUAUCCAGGACAAUGCGUUGAAACCGGAGCAGCUGAUCAAUCAGGUUUGGGAAGAUCAAACGCCAGGUGGAUAAAGGACUUGCGACUUGUUGAGAGCAAUUACAGACUUCAUCAUAGACCAAAUUCCCAAAGUUAAUUUCAUGUUUCUUCACCACCAUGUAGAGGAGAGUAGAGCGACCCGGUUUCAAUGUAUGAGAGUUGACAGUUGGCAUCCAGUUCUGAUAACAGAUCUUCUGAAGUUGAGACAUGGUAUCUCCCAUAAGGCGUUUGGUCAGAUUGACCCAAGCAGUGACACGGCCUGAGGAUAGGACAGCAGCUACAUCAUCCAGAUCAGCAGCAAUGUCCGUGACAUGGACAUUCACCGGGAAGAUGGGGUUGGACAGUUGGAACAUCUGAUUGAUGAUGGUAGGAGAGAACUCAUACAUUAACCCACGAACAAACACCAUGAGUUCUCCAGUCUCACACACUUCAGCAUCAGGAAGAUUUGCGUAGAACUCCAUGACAACCUGUUCAACAAAGGUGUCAAUCUCUGUAACAGUAGGAAGGAGACCAGCAUCGGAGGUGAUUUUGUAAGCCGCCUGAGUAGACACACAAUCCGGAGCAAGGAAACUCAUCUCAUUGAAGCGACGCUUGAAGAUUCCCUGGUAGCGGUCACGAGCAGCUUCUGUGAUAAACAGAGUAUUAAUAGAAGGAACAGAGGGAAACUUCAACUCCGGGUACUUCCGUUCACGGAUAGCAAUGAGUUUCCGGUUAGCCUGGUAUCUUUCAAGGAAGGCCGGUGGAGGAAUCUCAGCAACAUCUUCAUCAUUUGCAUCCCUAGUGAUAUCUUCAAUAUCAUCAGAUGCACGAGCAGCAGCAGCACGACGCGAAGGACGACGAGUGAUUGGAACAGGACGAUUCGAUUUAGGUCGGGAAGAUGAAGCAACACCACAAUGCUUCUUCUUCGGAGGCUGCACAAAAUUCUUUGCCCUAACCUUUCUUGCUUUAGUAGCAUCCGGUUCAGAUUUUGGAAUAAGAACCGGAAUCAGAGAGGUUGGAUUCGGAAGCAACGAUGAUGGAGCUGACACAGACAGAGCAGCAGUGGAAGUCGGAAUAGCAUCAGUUCUGUUAGCAGAGAUCGCAGAAUCAGUAGCCAUGUUGAAUCAGAGAGGAAGAGGGCAUAUUUUGCUUUGAGGUUGAGACAGAGAGUUUCAGAUCUGCGAGAGGCUUUAGGGUUUUGAGUGAGAAGGAGCAACUGAACAGUCCAAGAGAAUAAGUAGAGAGAGAAGCGGCAAAGUUCCCUCCAAUUACUGUAACAUUGCAGAUCUCGAGAUGUCUGCACACUAAAGCACUCAUUAAACGCAAAUUGACUCUCACACGUUAACACAAAACGAGAAGGCCAACCCAGAUAAAUAGACCCAACCAGAUAAAGCCCAAUAGACCCAAUCCGAUAUUUUAAGCCGGCCCACAACAUUUCACAGACCAAAUCAACAUUCUUUUCAAACACAAGGCAUUUCCGAAAUUUAAACAACCAUUUCACAGACAACCACAUUCACACAUGAACCAAGUUUCAACAGACAGAGACAAAAUCCUUGUCCUCCUCAGAUAAUCUUAGUACAUAAGAGAUAUAUAUCUAUGUAUAUAUCUAUAUGCAUAUACGCAUUUUUUUCUGAGGUGAAUCAAUGAUACAAAAGAACACAAAGGAAGUGAGAGCACACCUGGGGUUUGAGUCAGACCUACUGCAACAGAUUCCCAUAUACAGAGGUACACAACUUCUGUACUUGUAGUUGUAAAAAGUAUCAGCCUUCUUAGCCCACAGAGAUGACCAACAUACACCAUGAUCACUUCAGACUAGACUACACCCCUCAUAUCCUUCCAGAUUUGAUCCUCAUGGUGUGUGUGUGCUUCAACGGCGAGGGGGUUGAUGGAUUUGUUGUAAUGAAGAAGGAGAAAUGAGGUACAAAAGUUUGAUUGCAUUGUACCUCUUGAAGAUAUGAAAGAACAUCAAUCCUUUUCCUGCCCAACCUUUCAUUUGGUUGCCUUUCCUUUUUUAUUUUUUUCUCUUUUUUUUUGUUUCCCUUAUUUUGUUUUGUUUUUUUUUUUUUUUUUCUUUUAACAGACUUGCAACACACACCCUUUUUGGACAUCUUCGAGGAAGAGCAUGAGAAGCAGCUGUUUUCCUGAAGCAACUUGCCAAGAAGGAGGUUUUCAUAGUCUUUAUUAAAAACAAAAAGCUGAUGCAACUCUGUACAGAGGAACCUGUUGCACUAGCUUAAGACACAAAAUGCAUUAGUGUUCACACAGGCCAAUGGAUUUUUGCAAAUUCAUAUAACUGUUUAAAUCCAAAGGUUUAGUAAAUAUAUCAGCAAAUUGCUUUUCAGAGGGGACAUGAACUAUCUCAAUAGUCUUGUUUUCAACAAGUUUACGAACGAAAUGGUGUCUGAUAUCAAUGUGUUUAGUGCGAGUGUGCUGAACAGAAUUUUUUGAAAUGUCUAUAGCACUAGUGUUAUCACAAUAUACUAACAUGGUAGAAGGAAUGAUACCGUAGUCAGACAACAUUUGUUUCAUCUAGAGCAGUUGAGUACAACAACUACCAAGAGCUACAUACUCAGCUUCAGCAGUUGAGAGUGUGACAGAGCUUUGCUUCUUUGAAUACCAGGAUAUCAUGUUGUUUCCAAGAAAGAAACAACCACCAGAUGUGCUUCUACGAUCAUCCAGAUUACCUGACCAAUCAGCAUCACAAAAACCUUCCAGAUUUUGAUUAGUCUGUUUAGAGUAGAACAAACCUCUGUCAGUGGUACCUUUUACAUGCAUACUUGAUGAUGCGUUUGACUGCAUUCAAAUGUGACAGACGCGGAUUAGCUUGAUAUCUGGCACACAUGCCAACACUGAGGCACAAGUCAGGUCAGCUGGCAGUAAGGUACAGAAGACUUCCGAUCAUUGCUCUAUACAGCUUUUCAUCCACACGCUGACCAUAUUCAUCUUUGGACAACUUCACAGUGGUGCUCAUGGGAGUUCUAGAGGUCUUGCUUGUCUGCAUUCCAAACCUCUGUACAAUACUCUUAGCAUAGGUACCUUGAGAUAUGUGGACCCCUUCUUCAGUCUGUUUGAUUUGUAGCCCCAAAAAGUAGUUCAUCUCUCCAACCAUACUCAUCUCAAAUUCUUUGGUCGUAGAUUUGAUGAUGAAGCGGAAGCUCCUAGGGAUAAAACUAGAUCCAUUGAUUCUGAGAAUAUCCGGAAACUAGGGUUUGAGAGUCCUCCUCUCAGGGCUUUCGCAAAAGCUCUUAGGGUUGUGAAUACUCUUUACAGUGGUUUAUAAAAACUUUUUUAAAUCUUUCGAUUAAUCAAUUUAAUAACAACUGAAUACAAUAGGAGGCCUUAGAAGGCUAUUUAUAAUAAAGCAUAAAACCCUAAAACAUAGAAUAUUCUAGAACAAUAAUUAUUAAUUAAUUAAAAUAUGAUAAUAAUAGAUAUUUGGAAUAUUUCCAAAUAUCUCGCUGCAUCAGGUCUCGCCGGCCAAGAAAAGAUUUGUCCUCGAAUCUUGUUUCUGCGCUGCAUCAGCUCCCUCCGGCCAAGAAAGAUUCGCCCUCAAAUAUUCAAUAGGGUUUUCAGCAUAGGAGAUCUUCGAAGAUUCAUCUUUAUCUCCAUCUUUUGAUUCUGCCCGAUUAUUGCACGAAAUGGAUCUGAUCCGAAAUUUGCACGAAUCUGAUUUGACCCAGAAUUUGCACGAAUCAGAUUUGACCCGAAAAUUACACAGAUCUUAUCUUCCAUGAUUUCUGUAGGAAACCCGAAUUUUGCACAAGUCUGAUUUUGCACGAAUUUUUACGAGUCAGAUUCUCGAACACAUCUUCUGGAAAAACGAAAUCAAUAACUAUAACAUCAUCUUCAUAGAUGUCAUAGAUGAGAUCACCAUAGAUCUCUCUGUAGAUCUCAUGGUUUUCUUCUUCUUCAGAAAACAGACUUUCGCCUGUGAUAGGGUAGACGUUUCCGGUCAACAUGACAUCUAGAAUCGAGCCUUGACUUAGAAAUCAAAGCACUGUCUCUGAUACCAAAUGAUGAAGCGGAAGCUUCUAGGGAUAGAACUAGAUUCGUUGAUUCUGAGAAUACCCGGAAACUAGGGUUUGAGAGUCCUCCUCUCAGGACUUUCGCAAAAGCUCUUAGGGUUUGUGAAUACUCUUCACAGUGGUUUAUAAAACCCUCUUUAAAUCUUUCGAUUAAUCUAUUCAAUAACAUCUAAAUACAAUAGGAGGCCUAGAAGGCUAUUUAUAAUAAAAACAUAAAACCCUAAAAUCUAUAGAAUAUUCUAGAAUAAUUAUAAUCAAUAAAUUAAAAGGUAAUGGAAAUAGAUAUUUGGAAAUAUUCCAAAUAUCUCGCUGCAUCAUUUGACAAACAAAGUAACCAAAUCUUCUUUAGUGCUUCCAAACACAAUGUCAUCAACAUAGAUUUGGACAAUGAGUAUGUCUUCCUUUCCUUGAUACACAAACAGGGUCUUGUCUACACUUCCUCGUUUGAAACCUUUUUCAACCAAGAACACUGAGUGUCGUUCAUACCAAGCACGAGGAGCCUGUUUCAGUCUGUAGAGAGCCUUUUUGAGUUUGUACACAUGAUUAGGAAAGUUUGGAUCUUCAAAUCCCUUUGGUUGAGCCACAUAAACUUCUUCUUGGAUUAUACCAUUCAGGAAGGCACUUUUAACAUCCAUUUGAUGUAGUUUAAUGUUUAACAGACAUGCCAUUCCAAGAAGAAGCCUGAUAGACUCCAGACGUGCAACAAGAGCAAAUGUUUCAUCGAAAUCAAUUCCUUCAACCUGAGAGUAACCCUGAGCAACCAGUCUUGCGCGAUUUCUUGUUACAUUUCCACCUUCAUCGAUCUUGUUCUUGAAGAUCUACUUUGUUCCAACAAUGUUCACCUGCGGUGGCUUUGGAACAAGAUCCCACACGUUAUGACGACCAAAUUGAUUAGUCUCUUCAUGACACACUCCAAACCAAAAUUCAUCUUCUAGUGCAGUGAAGAUAUCUUUAGGUUCAAUGGUUUACACAAAACUUGAAAACUGAAUCAUUUCCCUGAAGUUAAUCUGAACACCUCUAGUAGUUCUUUCAUCUUCAAGAUUUCCAAUAACAUCAGCUUCUGAGUGACUUUUUGGAACAGUGAGGGUAGUGGUUCUAAUUCCAGUUUCUUGUUCUUGUAUCACUACUUCUUCUUGAUUCUCUUGAUCCAACUUUGGUUGUUCAGCCUUAUCUUUUUGAGCAGAUUCUUCUUCAUCUUGAGUAACAAGAAACAUCUGAGUUGGACUCUUAUCAUCAAAGACAACAUUUAUAGAUUCUUCAACCCUCUUCAACCGUUUGUUGUAGACUCUGUAAGCUAUACUGUUAGUAGCAUAACCCAGAAAGAUUCCUUCAUCACUCCUUGCAUCAAACUUCCCCAAGUGGUCUUUAUCAUUCAGGAUAUAAUAGAUACAUCCAAAGGUGUGAAAGUAGCACAAGUUGGGAGUUUUACCUUGCCAAGUCUCAUAACAUUGAAUUUCCUUUUUCUUACCUGAGUUAUCCUUUUCAGCUUUGAAGAAUCUUCCACCAGAUUUGUCACCUUCAUUACUGUUCCAACGAGCUCCAUCUCUAUUCUGACCUCAUUCUACUCUCUUCAGGGCUUUUCCAAAGUUUCUAGCAAGCAAGGCUAGACUGUCCUUGAUGUUUUGAAACUGAUCCACUUCUUGUUCAGCUUGGAAGGCAACGGAUUUUGACCCUUUGGUCUUGUCCUCAUUUACUUCCAUUUCUUCAGACUUCAAAAUACCAACAAGAUCAGCAAAUUUCAUUGUGUCAGUAUUACCUGCAACUCUCAUAACAGCUUUGUGAGCAGCAAACUUUGCAGGAAGAUACCUGAGAAGCUUCUUCACCAGCUUCUGUUCUUUGUACGUUUUUCCAAGAGUCUCAGCUUCAUUGGCUAUUGCACUUAUCUUCGAGCUAAACUUCACAAUGGUUUCAUCAGGUUCCAUCUUUAGAUAUUCAAACUGAGUUGCUAGCUGAUCUAGCCUUGUUCUUUUCACACAUGUAGUUCCUUCAUGAGACUGUUGAAGAAUAUCCCACGCUUGCUUCGCAGAUUUGCACCCUUAAAUGAGUUUGAACUCAUCUUCAUCAACAGAACCAAAAAUAGCAUUCAUGGCUCUAGCAUUGAAUUUUGACAGACUCUUUUCUUCAUCUGUCCAUCUGUCUUUUGGUUUUGGAAUCCUUAUCCCGGCUUCAGUCAAUAAGGAUGGAGAUUCCCACCCAUCUUCAACUGCAGUCCAAGCAUCUUCUCCUUGACCCCUGAUAAUUUGUUGCAUACGAACUUUCCAAUAACCAUAUCUCUUAGUAUCAAGCACAAUAUUCUUGCUUGUACCAACAAAAUCAGUAGUUGGUUCCAUCUUCAGGAUCUAACCUGUUUAGAGACACAAUCUCUCAAAUCGGUUUCCUGCUCUGAUACCAAUUGUAGAAACAGAAUACUAGCACAAAUACUAAACCAGAGACAAAUUACAAAAACUAAGCUUUAUUAGAAAUCUCUUCAAAUCAAUCUAACAUAGAUUGUUUGAUCAGUGUUACACAACAUCACCUACAAGAGACUUGACCCUGAAACGAUCCUAAUCUACCCAGCUCACACACAUCAACAGCUGCGAUCACUCUUUGUUCACUCACCAGUGAUUCCCACAAAGAACAAAUUCGUUCACAAAGAUACACACUUUUUCUCUUCUAAAAGUGCUAACUUUAAUAAGCAAGAACACCUUCUCCUUAUAUAGAGUCUUCAGAUUCCAAGCUCUCCUCUUUAUCCAGGGGACACUUGGAAGCUUCAAGUCACACUCAAGUCACAACACAACUUGUUUGACUUUUGGGACACCUCAGCAUGCUCACUGUUACCAACUCCAAUGUGCCACGUCACCACGAACCCAUUAGCUUUUCCCGCCUCCUCUGUACUCCUUCAGACACACC